Dermacentor albipictus is the source of this 497-nucleotide non-coding RNA. Lineage: Eukaryota; Metazoa; Arthropoda; Arachnida; Ixodida; Ixodidae. The record is from RefSeq and is a predicted model, not a curated record.
GCGAUGAAGAAGAGGAGAAUGUCAUGCCUGCAAUUCACGAGCAGCAAGUUGAGCGGAGCGGCAACGUUGAGUGGUGCACCUGUGGUCGUUGUCGUCCGAUGGAAACAAACCGUGAAUCGGUGUGCUGCCGCGAAAUUUCGGAGGUGGCAGCCCGUCUGCCGGAAGGGGACAAGUGUAUAACUGACCACCCCACUUUUGUGCACCCGUGCCUCAAUGUUCAUGCUUUAGAGGUCGCAUAAUACACCUUGAGAGAGGACCGACCUUCGCUAGUCAACGCACCUGAUAUCCACACGAGAUACAGGUACACCGCCUACAGACAGUUCGUCCGCUGGAUAUGGAUUUGGCUGGGCCGUCGUAAUCGCAGAGUAUUGCCCAGCUGCGUCGUCAGUGAAAUAAGAAAUGCAUUUCCAUCAGCACGCUAUGCAGGAUUCAGAUACCCCGAAUAAUAGUCAAGUUGUCCGUUUUGCCACAAAUAAAUGCAUAAUAAAUGUACUUUA